Non-coding RNA from Agelaius phoeniceus (red-winged blackbird), 1396 nucleotides. NCBI's taxonomy places the organism in Eukaryota, Metazoa, Chordata, Aves, Passeriformes, Icteridae. The record is from RefSeq and is a predicted model, not a curated record.
GUUUUGAUUUUUUUUUUUUAGGAUUGUGUCUCUUUGAUUGAGGUGAUUUUAUACCACAUUCAUUCACCAUCUGAUGGGCAGAAGCCUUCUCUUACAUGAGUUCUUUCAGGAAUCAGCUGUACUUUGAAGGAGAUGUAAAGAAUCUGUGAAUCAUAGAGAUGGGUUGGGCUGCUACAGCACUCUAAUGUCAAUUUGCUUUUCUCAUCCCAUUAACUAAUAAUUUACAUGUGAAAUUCUUGUUGCAGUGGCCCUGCUCCAGGAGUUCUCCUGUCUGGAUUGGUAAAGAGCUUCCCUGAGUUUCCAUCACUGCUCAAAGUGCGCAAGUCACAGAAUUGAAUUUCUUGCCACCUUUUUUCAUUCAAUGCCUGAGCUGGAGCCUUUGGACAAAGCAGCUGCACGGUCUGGCCUUGGUACCUGAGGGCUCCUUGAGUGCCUCCUUCUUGGGGAACAGGGGUUUGGUGAUUUUCCUUGUCAGAAAGCCUGUCUGUGCAAGAAAUUCUCUGCUUGUCUGAAAGGCAGGGAAAGGGCAGCACUGAUGUCUCCUCUCCCUUCCAUCCCUUGUAGGUCAACAGGAACAGCUUCAAAUCCCAAUUCUUACUACUGCCUCUGCAAGCUGAGAGUAAGAAGUCCUCUCUCCAGGGAAAUUGCAGGUAAGGCUGGAGCUGCUGGGAGAGGCUGAGCUGAGGAGAGCCUUGUCUGCACAGGGAUGUGAGGCACAUCAACACAAAGCAGCAGGAUAUACAAGCAGCUAAGAAUGUCCACUGUUGAGAAAAGGGCAUUUGGACCCCACGUGGAAGAAUACAAGAGAGAGUGGCAGACUAAGAAUGAGAAUCCUGCUGUUAAGGGAAAUUGAUAUUGGCACUGACACCUUCACAAAAUGCUACCAAGGAUAAAAAUGAACCAUCAACAUCACAGCUGUGGGAAGGUGUAAGUAGAACUGGCUGUCAGGUUGACAUGUAAAUAUGUAUAUUCCUGUAUCACUGUGAUGCCAAAUGUUUGAAGGAAAAAUUGUUAUUGCUACUGAGAAUAUCCUUCUCAACCUCUUUACACAAGUAAUAAAAAUACUGCAAAAGCUAUGCUGGCCCAUUUCCUGGAAAUGCCAAUUUCUGUUUGUUGGUAGAGGCAGGCAAGAGAGCUUCUGACAAAUAUCUAAGUACAACAUGUUCAGCAGAGGCUUUCACCUGCCUCUGACUUGCAGGCUGAGAAGUGCAAAUCAUGUGUGACAUGUCUAGGGAGGAGGAAAUCAACCACCAGUCAUCAGCUGAUAAAGCCACAGAAGAAGAUGUUUACUCCCAUUUUGGUUUCUUUGGUUACUGGUUUAUUUUUUUUUUUAGUAUGAGAUUUACUACUUUUGUAACAACGUUUGCUUAAUAAACCAAUUUGCUUUUUUGCUGCA